RNAcentral lists this ribosomal RNA (254 nucleotides) under uncultured bacterium. RNAcentral's name for it is "partial 16S ribosomal RNA". It matches the Rfam family "Bacterial small subunit ribosomal RNA", at positions 524 to 776 of the family's 1533-position model. The record is from RNAcentral.
UACGUAGGGUGCGAGCGUUAAUCGGAAUUACUGGGCGUAAAGCGUGCGCAGGCGGUCUGUUAAGACCGAUGUGAAAUCCCCGGGCUUAACCUGGGAACUGCAUUGGUGACUGGCAGGCUUUGAGUGUGGCAGAGGGAGGUAGAAUUCCACGUGUAGCAGUGAAAUGCGUAGAGAUGUGGAGGAAUACCGAUGGCGAAGGCAGCCUCAUGGGCCAACACUGACGCUCAUGCACGAAAGCGUGGGGAGCAAACAGG